GCGGACGUGGUGGAAUUGGCAGACACGCCAGGUUUAGGUCCUGGUGCCCGGAAGGGUGUGGGGGUUCAAGUCCCCCCGUCCGCA
Molecule: transfer RNA, 84 nt
Filed under: Acidimicrobiaceae bacterium
Lineage: Bacteria; Bacillati; Actinomycetota; Acidimicrobiia; Acidimicrobiales; Acidimicrobiaceae
Also listed under: 3 other names
Description: tRNA-Leu
Rfam family: tRNA
About the family: Transfer RNA (tRNA) molecules are approximately 80 nucleotides in length. Their secondary structure includes four short double-helical elements and three loops (D, anti-codon, and T loops).
Source: RNAcentral